RNAcentral lists this long non-coding RNA (978 nucleotides) under Homo sapiens (human). RNAcentral describes it as "HSALNT0362709". The record is from RNAcentral. Lineage: Eukaryota; Metazoa; Chordata; Mammalia; Primates; Hominidae.
AGAGGUUUAAGGAGGGGAGGGAGAGAGGGAGAGGGAGGAAGGGAAAAGUGCGGGGGAGAGGGAGAGAGAGAGCUGUUCCUGGGCCGCCAGUCUCCCCUGGGGCAGCAGGACAUUUAGGAGAGGGCUCCCAAAAGCAAGCUCCUCCCAGUCACCUCACUGCUCCAUCAAUUGGACUCUGCCACCAAACUGAACUGACCACACUGUACCCAGAGCGGGCUCCCGGUUCAGUCUCAGUGGCACCAGCUAGCGGAUGGAGCAUGGGCAGGGGGUGGCGAGGAGAGGGUGCAACUGUAAUGCAGCCAAGGUUUCUUUUCAUAUACUUAAGCAGUAAAUCCUUUCAUUCUGCCGUGAGGACCAUUUAGUUCAGAAUAAAUACAGCUGAUCAGAAAAGGCAAAAAGAACAGCUAAGGGGUUUAAAGGGUCUUGGCAAGUGGUACUGAGAUUUAAUAAGCUACCAAAGGGCCAGAACAGCGACAGACACCGCCACCCUGGGGCACAGAUGGCAGACAAGGGGAGAGGGCAAAGAGCUAUUGGGGAAUCUGCACUUGUGAGGGUCAAAACCCACACUCAUCUUGUGCUGCCGCCCUGCUCCUCCUUGCAUCCAUGUUCACAGGUUGCCCACCCAACGGUUUUCCUGUCUCUAGUCCCUCCCACUGAGGACCCACCUCACAGGAAGAAAACCGUCUGACUCAUAAAGGGAUCCGACCAAGGCUAUGUUCAUCCUCUGCUCAGCACCUCAUCUGAGCCAGGACAAGAAGAGAAGGAAACGAGCGUUUGCUGGGCUCCAUCACAUGCCAGGUGGGUCUUAUUAUUUCCAUUCUACACGUGAAGAGUCUGAGGCUCAGAGGUCAGCCUGCCAAAGUCACACACACAGCUGGGGAGCUUGCUGGACUCCACAGGCCACACAUCUUCCAUGAGAGCACACUGCCUCUUUGAAAAUAAAGCUGCAGAGCAAAAACACUAACAUUUUACCUCCUA